Molecule: ribosomal RNA, 324 nt
Filed under: uncultured eukaryote
Lineage: Eukaryota
Description: partial 18S ribosomal RNA
Rfam family: Eukaryotic small subunit ribosomal RNA
Source: RNAcentral
CCCUUAGAUGCUCUGGGCCGCACGCGCGCUACACUGGUCGAUGCAACGAGUUUCUUUCCUUGACCGACAGGCCUGGGCAAUCUUUGAACAUCGAUCGUGAUCGGGAUAGAUUCUUGUAAUUUUUGAUCUUAAACGAGGAAUUCCUAGUAAACGCAAGUCAUCAGCUUGCAUUGAUUACGUCCCUGCCCUUUGUACACACCGCCCGUCGCACCUACCGAUUGAAUGGUCCGGUGAAAUCUCCGGACUGGCGUGAGUCGGAGCAAUCUGACAAACACCGGAAAGUUGAUUAAACCUUACCAUUUAGAGGAAGGUGAANUCGUAACA